GAUGGAUCAGAUACUUGCUGCCUACAGGAAGUCCUCAAAGCAGUGGUCAUCCACUUUGAACAAGCUAGCUCAAGUGCGACAAAGAGGUCGAAGGCGUACAAUGGUUGGAUGAAACUUCAAGUUCACAUUAGAUGUUGAACUGAACAAUGAUAUGAUGUAGUUAGAGAUCCUAUCUACAUAUUGUAGUUUAUAUUCUUCUGCACACAUUUUGUAGCCUGAAAACAAUGACAUGGUAUUAGUACUAGUUUAGUAUUCUUCUUCCUCUAUCAACAUUAUUGUUCAUUAAGAAACUUUUUACAGUGUAUUUAACUAAUUUUUCUUUA
Long non-coding RNA from Tripterygium wilfordii, 323 nucleotides. RefSeq lists it as uncharacterized. NCBI's taxonomy places the organism in Eukaryota, Viridiplantae, Streptophyta, Magnoliopsida, Celastrales, Celastraceae. The record is from RefSeq and is a predicted model, not a curated record. The transcript is spliced from 2 exons.